RNAcentral lists this ribosomal RNA (802 nucleotides) under uncultured bacterium. RNAcentral's name for it is "bacterial SSU rRNA". It matches the Rfam family "Bacterial small subunit ribosomal RNA", at positions 8 to 796 of the family's 1533-position model. The record is from RNAcentral.
AGAGUUUGAUCAUGGCUCAGGACGAACGCUGGCGGCGUGCUUAACACAUGCAAGUGGUGCGACGAACCAGACUUCGGUCUGGGGCAAAGCCGCGAACGGGUGAGUAACACGUGAGUAAUCUGCCCCGAUGACCGGGACAACCCGAGGAAACUCGGGCUAAUACCGGAUGAUGAGCCUUGGCGUAAGCCUUGUCUCUAAAGGAAGCUUCGGCCUCCGCAUCGGGAGGAGCUCGCGGCCCAUUAGCUAGUUGGUGGGGUAACGGCCUACCAAGGCGACGAUGGGUAGCUGGUCUGAGAGGACGAUCAGCCACACUGGGACUGAGACACGGCCCAGACUCCUACGGGAGGCAGCAGUGGGGAAUCUUGCGCAAUGCGCGAAAGCGUGACGCAGCAACGCCGCGUGGGGGAAGACGGCCUUCGGGUUGUAAACCCCUUUCAGGAGGGACGAAGGUUCACCGGUGAAUAGCCGUGUGGAUUGACGGUACCUCCACAAGAAGCACCGGCUAACUACGUGCCAGCAGCCGCGGUAAUACGUAGGGUGCAAGCGUUGUCCGGAAUCAUUGGGCGUAAAGCGCGCGUAGGUGGCUUCGUCAGUCCGUUGUGAAAGUCAAAGGCUCAACCUUUGAAUGCCGAUGGAUACUGCGGAGCUAGAGUACGGAAGAGGCGAGUGGAAUUCCUGGUGUAGCGGUGGAAUGCGCAGAUAUCAGGAGGAACACCAAUAGCGAAGGCAGGUCUCUGGGCAUUAACUGACGCUGAGGAGCGAAAGCAUGGGGAGCGAACAGGAUUAGAUACCCUAGUAGUCC